Molecule: ribosomal RNA, 898 nt
Filed under: Staphylococcus haemolyticus
Lineage: Bacteria; Bacillati; Bacillota; Bacilli; Caryophanales; Staphylococcaceae
Description: bacterial SSU rRNA
Rfam family: Bacterial small subunit ribosomal RNA
Source: RNAcentral
UGCAGUCGAGCGAACAGACAAGGAGCUUGCUCCUUUGACGUUAGCGGCGGACGGGUGAGUAACACGUGGGUAACCUACCUAUAAGACUGGGAUAACUUCGGGAAACCGGAGCUAAUACCGGAUAAUAUUUCGAACCGCAUGGUUCGAUAGUGAAAGAUGGUUUUGCUAUCACUUAUAGAUGGACCCGCGCCGUAUUAGCUAGUUGGUAAGGUAACGGCUUACCAAGGCGACGAUACGUAGCCGACCUGAGAGGGUGAUCGGCCACACUGGAACUGAGACACGGUCCAGACUCCUACGGGAGGCAGCAGUAGGGAAUCUUCCGCAAUGGGCGAAAGCCUGACGGAGCAACGCCGCGUGAGUGAUGAAGGUCUUCGGAUCGUAAAACUCUGUUAUUAGGGAAGAACAUACGUGUAAGUAACUAUGCACGUCUUGACGGUACCUAAUCAGAAAGCCACGGCUAACUACGUGCCAGCAGCCGCGGUAAUACGUAGGUGGCAAGCGUUAUCCGGAAUUAUUGGGCGUAAAGCGCGCGUAGGCGGUUUUUUAAGUCUGAUGUGAAAGCCCACGGCUCAACCGUGGAGGGUCAUUGGAAACUGGAAAACUUGAGUGCAGAAGAGGAAAGUGGAAUUCCAUGUGUAGCGGUGAAAUGCGCAGAGAUAUGGAGGAACACCAGUGGCGAAGGCGACUUUCUGGUCUGUAACUGACGCUGAUGUGCGAAAGCGUGGGGAUCAAACAGGAUUAGAUACCCUGGUAGUCCACGCCGUAAACGAUGAGUGCUAAGUGUUAGGGGUUUCCGCCCCUUAGUGCUGCAGCUAACGCAUUAAGCACUCCGCCUGGGGAGUACGACCGCAAGGUUGAAACUCAAAGGAAUUGACGGGGACCCGCACAAGCGGUGGAG